CUACGGGAGGCUCCAGUGAGGAAUAUUGGUCAAUGGGCGAAAGCCUGAACCAGCCAUGCCGCGUGAAGGAUGACGGCCCUAUGGGUUGUAAACUUCUUUUAUACGGGAAGAAACACCUCUACGUGUAGAGGUUUGACGGUACCGUACGAAUAAGCAUCGGCUAACUCCGGGCCAGCAGCCGCGGUAAUACGGAGGAUGCAAGCGUUAUCCGGAUUUAUUGGGGUUAAAGGGUACGUAGGCGGAAACUUAAGUCAGUAGUGAAAUCCCGCAGCUUAACUGUGGAACUGUUAUUGAUACUGGGUUUCUUGAAUAUUGUUGAGGUAGGCGGAAUAAGUAAUGUAGCGGUGAAAUGCUUAGAUAUUACUUAGAACACCGAUUGCGAAGGCAGCUUACUAAGCAAUUAUUGACGCUGAGGUACGAAAGCGUGGGGAGCGAACAGGAUUAGAUACCCCCGUAGUC
This 459-nucleotide ribosomal RNA is filed under the name uncultured bacterium. RNAcentral's name for it is "partial 16S ribosomal RNA". It matches the Rfam family "Bacterial small subunit ribosomal RNA", at positions 339 to 795 of the family's 1533-position model. The record is from RNAcentral.